CCUACGGGUGGCAGCAGUGAGGAAUAUUGGUCAAUGGACGAGAGCCUGAACCAGCCAAGUCGCGUGAAGGAUGACUGCCCUAUGGGUUGUAAACUUCUUUUGUAUGGGAAUAAAAUGUUCCACGUGUAGGGUGUUGUAUGUACCAUAUGAAUAAGGAUCGGCUAACUCCGUGCCAGCAGCCGCGGUAAUACGGAGGAUGCGAGCGUUAUCCGGAUUUAUUGGGUGUAAAGGGAGCGUAGGUGGAUUGUUAAGUCAGUUGUGAAAGUUUGCGGCUCAACCGGAAAAUUGCAGUUGAAACUGGCAGUCUUGAGUACAGUAGAGGUGGGCGGAAGUCGUGGUGUAGCGGUGAAAUGCGUAGAUAUCACGAAGAACUCCGAUUGCGAAGGCAGCUCUCUGGACUGCAACUGACACUGAGGCUCGAAAGUGUGGGUAGCAAACAGGAUUAGAUACCCCAGUAGUC
RNAcentral lists this ribosomal RNA (460 nucleotides) under uncultured bacterium. Its description in RNAcentral is "partial 16S ribosomal RNA". It matches the Rfam family "Bacterial small subunit ribosomal RNA", at positions 338 to 795 of the family's 1533-position model. The record is from RNAcentral.